Molecule: ribosomal RNA, 253 nt
Filed under: uncultured bacterium
Lineage: Bacteria
Description: partial 16S ribosomal RNA
Rfam family: Bacterial small subunit ribosomal RNA
Source: RNAcentral
AACGUAGGUGGCGAGCGUUAUCCGGAUUUACUGGGCGUAAAGGGUGUGCAGGCGGGCUGUUAAGUGGUGCAUGAAAUCUCCGCGCUUAACGUGGAGAGGCUGUGCAAGACUGGCAGUCUAGAGUACGUGAGAGGGUUGUGGAAUUCCGGGUGUAGUGGUGAAAUGCGUAGAUAUCUGGAGGAACACCGGUGGCGAAGGCGGCAUCCUGGACCGAUACUGACGCUGAGGAGCGAAAGCCAGGGGAGCAAACGGG